UACGUAGGGGGCGAGCGUUGUCCGGAUUUAUUGGGCGUAAAGAGCGUGUAGGCGGCUUGGUAGGUCUGCUGUGAAAACUCGGGGCUCAACCCCGAGACGUCGGUGGAAACCACCUGGCUAGAGUCCGGAAGAGGAGAGUGGAAUUCCUGGUGUAGCGGUGAAAUGCGCAGAUAUCAGGAAGAAUAUCCGUGGCGAAGGCGGCUCUCUGGGACGGUACUGACGCUGAGACGCGAAAGCGUGGGGAGCGAACAGG
RNAcentral lists this ribosomal RNA (253 nucleotides) under uncultured bacterium. RNAcentral's name for it is "partial 16S ribosomal RNA". It matches the Rfam family "Bacterial small subunit ribosomal RNA", at positions 524 to 776 of the family's 1533-position model. The record is from RNAcentral.